CCUGAAAUCACGCAAAUGAUUUCCUUCUAUGCAUCAUAUCCUGCCUCCUGCCGCUUCUAAACUCAAACACACGAACAAAAAGCCUCAACGUGGAUCAUCUAGAAAACUGUCGGCGCUACAAUCAGGGCCCCAGGUGCCGUUCUUGGGAGCGGCUCGCCACCCGGCGCUCCUCCACCUACCCUCUCCUUAAGCGCGGAGUCUGCGACUGUUGGGCCGUGCGGAAGUGCGGGUGACGCAGCUCGAGGCGGUCGGGGAUGCGGGAUCCAGGUGUCGGCGGCGCAUCUCGCCGGGUCAAUGGAAGGCGAUGGCGGCGACGGCGAGGCGACACGGAGGAGCUCGUGGAGGACGCCGGCACUUCUGUCGCUGCUGGGAAUAGGCGGAGGCGACCGGAUCUGGGGCGGCGGCGGCGGGUGCAGACGACUUCGGUGGCGGCGUGAUGCCUCAUGUACGGCUGCACCGGUGGUUAGAGAAUGAAGGAGGAGGAGAGAAAAGAAAAGAGGGAAGCGUGGUGGCAUGGCUCAUCGUUUUGGUCGCCGCCGGGGAGGAAGACCCGUGUUUUACAUUCGACGGAUUGCGAGGCCCAAGAAGUUUCAAUGAAAGGAGGAGGUAGCGUUCGUGCAUAUCACCAGAACCAUAAAGUUCACAGGAUAUAUAAGUGUAACAUAUCCAUUACAGUCGGGAGCACAAGCUUUUCAUGCUGGGACAAAACAACGAUGAAGCCCCAUGCUUUUCUAACCCAGUGACCGCUUCUGGCCUCGCUAAGGUGACGGGGGAUAAAUCAUCCAUGUGUGUCAUCAAGGCUUAACUGUACUAGAGAUGAUGCGAGCGAGCUCCUUGAUCCCUUAUGAAGUUACAAUUAUAUCUCACAAGUCUUGGCAUUUGUUGGCCUUGCUCAACCGAAGUCUUCUCUGACAUUGUGUGUGUCUUAAUUGAGGCCCAACAUUUGUUACGCUCACAGCUACUUCCUUUGCACCUUUCAUGUUGCAUGCGAUUAACCUGAAGAUCUCCAUGUACACUCUAUGGCAUGGUUUGCAAGAACUCAUCUUGCAGUUAUAUUUAAGCUUGUUCCAUAUUCAUUUUUAAAUUCAGAAUUGUCACAUUCAGAUUUUUUUUGUUAAUGAUGAGAUAUUUAGCCAUAGUCAAUACAUAAGAAAACAUGUCUUGAUUUUUCUCUUGAAUGGUACCUGCAAGUUUGUCAAUUGUUUAGUGAAGCUUUCCUUCAAAAGAAUUCUAAAUACUACAGGAAGGAGAGUAAGACAAUGACAGUUCACUGGAAUAUGUAUUUUGAGAGGACAUAUAUGUGUUUACCUCUCUGUAAUUACAUAUUACUUUCCUUGCUGAUGCUAUUGCUCAGGUUAAGCUAUUGCUAUCCAUUUUUUCAGGUUGAAUCAGUUCCGAGCACAGGUCAGCUAAAUGGAGUUUCUAUGUUUUCUCUGUACUGGUGAUCAUGUGUUCGACCUAAUGCCUAUCUACGGUCUUGGGCGGACCUGUCAUAGGUUAUGCUGGACAUCGACAAGUGUUCUUUAGCACACCUUAAAUAAAACAGUUUUCUUUUCCUUUUUAGUUUGAUUGAGUCACUUAGAUGUGCAAUAACUAGUACACAUCUAGAUGUGCCCUAGACAGGCCCUAAAAGAAAAUCAAGUUUGAUAAGAAUGGUUUUCUUUAAAAAAAUCUGUUCAUUUGUGGCUAUGAAGCUUAAGAAGGUUGACUGAAGGUACUCAAA
Long non-coding RNA from Triticum aestivum (bread wheat), 1723 nucleotides. RefSeq lists it as uncharacterized. The record is from RefSeq and is a predicted model, not a curated record. NCBI's taxonomy places the organism in Eukaryota, Viridiplantae, Streptophyta, Magnoliopsida, Poales, Poaceae. The transcript has 4 exons.